GCGGGAAUAGCUCAUUCGGUAGAGCGCUGCCUUGACAAGGCAGAGGUGGCG
This 51-nucleotide transfer RNA is filed under the name Clostridium sp. CAG:226. It matches the Rfam family "tRNA", at positions 1 to 50 of the family's 71-position model. From Rfam's summary of the family: Transfer RNA (tRNA) molecules are approximately 80 nucleotides in length. Their secondary structure includes four short double-helical elements and three loops (D, anti-codon, and T loops). Further hydrogen bonds mediate the characteristic L-shaped molecular structure. tRNAs have two regions of fundamental functional importance: the anti-codon, which is responsible for specific mRNA codon recognition, and the 3' end, to which the tRNAs corresponding amino acid is attached (by aminoacyl-tRNA synthetases). tRNAs cope with the degeneracy of the genetic code in two manners: having more than one tRNA (with a specific anti-codon) for a particular amino acid; and 'wobble' base-pairing, i.e. permitting non-standard base-pairing at the 3rd anti-codon position. The record is from Rfam by way of RNAcentral. Lineage: Bacteria; Bacillati; Bacillota; Clostridia; Eubacteriales; Clostridiaceae.